CAAAACCCAGACAGAAACGUCCAACAAACUCCCAGUCCAGGAGCGCUGCAAAACCAACGCCAGUCUAGUUUGGGGUCUCUAUAAUCCUGCUCCUUUGGCUGCCAGCCAUCUCCAUAAAAAAAGAAUUUGAAAGGCUUCCAUUCUUUCAGAGACCUGUUUCCCGGGACUGGCUGCAAGGGAGAGAUGCACUGACCUUCUGCCAGGUAUAGAACUAUUGAAUGGUACAGUUUGAGAUCUUCGAAACCAUCAGGACUGAUCAUUUUCUGGCUACUUUCUACAUAGGAAUCCUAGAGUUCCUUGGAGAGGAUAUGAAGGUUAUUCUCAGGCCAUGCAGAUGGGCAAGAAAGGAUGUGCGUCCAUGGUUCCUCUUCAAAUCCAACCAAAACAGCCUUGCUUCCGUUGGCUUUAUAUAAUACUGCAACUCUUGAUAAUCUGAUUUAACACAAAUUUCCUCAUUGAGUUUCUCCUCAUGAAGAAACGGCCUCAGUGAGGUAAAUCGGAAUGCACAGGAGCACAUAGCAGGUUAGUGCAGACCAGAAAUCAAACCCAGGCUUUCUGACUGCUCAAUAGACCACAAUCUACCAUGCUACCAUGGAAACUUUAAAACAGAUGAAAGUAAAAACAAACAAACAACAACUUAAAAAAACAAAAACAAAAACAAAAGCAAAACCCAGAGCCUCUCUAGGAAAUACCAACGUGCUUUUGCCAAGUGGGGUUUCUCUCACUUCAUAAGAGCAGUAAACACUAAACCAAGGGAAUGUGAAUUUAGAGGUUAGAAAAGAUAACCAGAGAUUUGGCCGUGCGUGGGGCUCAUGCCUGUAAUCCCAGCACUUUGGGAGGCUGAGGCUGGUGGGUUGCCUGAGGUCAGGAGUUUGAGACCAGCCUGGCCAACAUAGUGAAACCCUGUCUCUACUAAAAAUACAAAAAUUAGCUGGGUGUGGUGGCGUGCACCUGUAAUCCCAG
This 963-nucleotide long non-coding RNA is filed under the name Homo sapiens (human). RNAcentral's name for it is "wound and keratinocyte migration associated lncRNA 2". The record is from RNAcentral. Lineage: Eukaryota; Metazoa; Chordata; Mammalia; Primates; Hominidae.